Molecule: ribosomal RNA, 615 nt
Filed under: uncultured bacterium
Lineage: Bacteria
Description: bacterial SSU rRNA
Rfam family: Bacterial small subunit ribosomal RNA (bases 1-537)
Source: RNAcentral
CCUACGGGAGGCAGCAGUAAGGAAUAUUGGACAAUGGGCGCAAGCCUGAUCCAGCCAUGCCGCGUGAAGGAUUAAGGUCCUCUGGAUUGUAAACUUCUUUUAUAGGGGACGAAAAAAGGGCAUUCUUGCUCACUUGACGGUACCCUAUGAAUAAGCACCGGCUAACUCCGUGCCAGCAGCCGCGGUAAUACGGAGGGUGCAAGCGUUAUCCGGAUUCACUGGGUUUAAAGGGUGCGUAGGCGGGCAGUUAAGUCAGUGGUGAAAUCUCCGAGCUCAACUCGGAAACUGCCAUUGAUACUAUCUGUCUUGAAUAUUGUGGAGGUAAGCGGGAAUAUGUCAUGUAGCGGUGAAAUGCUUAGAUAUGACAUAGAACACCUAUUGCGAAGGCAGCUUACUACGCAUAUAUUGACGCUGAGGCACGAAAGCGUGGGGAUCAAACAGGAUUAGAUACCCUGGUAGUCCACGCCCUAAACCGAUGGAUACUCGACAUACGCGAUACACUGUGUGUGUCUGNGNGAGAGAUAAGUAGUCCUUACCGUUAGUAGUUACGUUACGCGAGAGNGACGACGAAGAGAGUUAGACGNGNGAGNGCGACGACGACGACGACGAGGAGAG